RNAcentral lists this small RNA (240 nucleotides) under Pongo abelii (Sumatran orangutan). RNAcentral describes it as "processed transcript". The record is from RNAcentral. Lineage: Eukaryota; Metazoa; Chordata; Mammalia; Primates; Hominidae.
CUGCGGGGUAUUGAAUUUGAGGCUGCUCUCAGCAUUACUGCUCAUCUCAAAGAGGAACAAAUGGUCCCCCAAAUGGUCCAGAUGCAACAGUAGGGGAAGGAGUGCCACCAUUCAUUUUGAGGUGCCUGAGCCAUACUCUGGAUGAAGCCCACAGCUCUAACAUAAGGCGGUCUCUGUGUUCCAGAUUUUUUUUUGUAACUAUGAAAUCCUUGCCUUGUAGUCAAGUUAAAGUGAAAUAAA